UACCCACCCGUUUCCCGAUCGGCUUUCGCAAUGGCCGGAGCCUCCGUUGGCUAGCCGGUUAUCAGCUAACCUGAUCGCAGCUAAAGUUAGCUAGCUAGAUGAGCCUGACAGACGUAGCUGGCUAGCUUACUCACAAGCUAACGUUAGCUAGUUGCGUAGUUAGCUAGCUCAUGCUUGCUAUACAUGUCUUUACACAGUGCCGAUUGUGCAAAACACGAGUAAAACUACUAUUAGGAACCGACUUAAGGAAAUGGACAAGUUGAAAAUAAAUAUUACUAGUCAGGAAAAUGAGAUGAUUCUUCCCAAUUAACAUCGUAAACCUGCUAGGUAAUAGUUGGCUAGCUAACUUCGAUUUAUGCUUAUUAGCCACAGCAUGACUUGCAUAACUGACUGUGUAAACAAGUGCGAAUACCUGUGCGACAGAAGAAUCCUCCGAUAUCGCGAUCUCCUCCUUAUCUUUCGGAGUUUUUACCGUGACCACGAUCAUGGUCUCGUCUGAGGCAGCAUUUUCAACAACGUUGGAAUCCACAGUGGGAUCUGUGCCGCUGUUCUCCGCCAUCUUUACUCCUCUUCAAAUUCACUACAUCCAGAGAGGAAGAGGAUGUUGCAUGUUUUCCUCCUUUAACAUGAUCGUGAGGACCACUGAGAAAGGUCUGUUGUGCCACCUCUACAGUACAUGUUACUGAUUUUUGUAUGUUGAUGAAUGCCUUGGACAUCAUGCUCAUCGUCCCUGCAGUCCUUCAGCUUUGUGUCACCAUCAGCUCUGCAGUGUCGGGUCUCAAGGCUUUGUACAAGGAGGGAAAAGAACAUCCAGGACCUGGAGCAGCAUAAGCCUCUGCUGGAGGAGGUCACCACUAACCCUGCAGCUUAAAGAGCACAGAUCUGAUAUACUUUAUUGUCCACGGGGGUAAAUUUUGUCGUGGACGAUUUAGUGGUGCUGCUUCCACAUGAAAUCCAUAGAAUCAAAUGUAUUCUACAUCAAUGGAACAUCAUCAUCAUACACGCCCCCACACAUUUUAUGUUUCAUACAUACAGUAUGUAGUACAUAUAGUUAACAUACAACCAGUGUCAAGUCACAGUAAAUUAAGUAUGUCUUCAUGCAGUUUGAGUCAUGUUUUUUGUAUUUGCCAUUACAAAACUGAAAGGACAGAUAAAGGGGAAUAUAUCAAGUUAAUUACUGAAUUGAUUGUUGUAUAUUAUUUAUUUUUUGUAUUUUGAUAUUUUCUUACUGUAUUAUCCCCCCCCCCCAAAAAACACAACAACAACAACAACAACAUACAAAUAAUAAUAAUUAACAAACUGUCUUAGCUCAACAGUUUCAAAACCGUUUUCCUUAACAUUGCCAUCAGGUGGCAGUCAUUCCCAUACAAACAUACACCAUUGGUUGCUCAUAGGUUAUCUUGGAGGCAAAUGCAGGUAAUGAAAACGGCAACAUAAAGUGUCUUCAGGUCUAAGCCCAUAAGGUCGUAAUAUCUACUAAGUUAAGAUAUGGAAUUGUUUUCAGAUGGUCAUAAAAUUGCUAAGUUUGCCAUUUGAAUUUGAGUACCCCUGUAGGUAUAUAUAUAUUUAUAUAUAUAUAUAUAUAUGCAUAUAUUUGAUGAAACAUUGAAUUUGGCCUUUACUGCUAUAACCCAUAGAAACAAAUUGAUUAACACAUUUGUAUAUGGCAAAACAGACAGUCCAAAAAUAAAUUGUAAGGAAUAAGGUUUUGAAGUGUCUGUCCUAUACACUGGCGUAACGCAGUUUCUCUGGACCCCUGCAAGGUUGGAGUGGGGCCCCCACUCCCUAAAUUAAACAAAUGUGUCAGCCAGAGAGUCACUCACAAAGUUUAGACUACCAACCACUGUCCAUGGUGCUGAAAUUUGGACAUAUCUAUGCGGCUGCCUAUCGGAUUGAUGAUAGGCUUUCUGUGGCGACAGGGCAUGUAGCCAAUAGCUUUGCUUUAGCAAACGGAUACAUGUUUAUUGGUAGGCCUAUUUGGUCGUCAUUUUCUCAUGUUAAGCUUAACAUUUCACGAAGCUGUACACAGUUCCGCAAGUCUGCCAUCAUUAAAAUGAUGUCUGGUGGCAAUAAUAUAAUCACUGGUUCAGUAAUUAAAGUUGGAAAUUUAAACAUUGCAGAUUGUAAAAUGUAUUUUCGAUACAACAGAAUACUAAUCUGCAACCAAUUGAUAAAAAAAUAAAAACACCACUGUCUUGUAUAGCCUACCUGAGCCUGCAUGCCUAUGAUCAGUCCUCGUGCUCUCUCCUAGCUUGGAUAGAAAGUUGUUGGGCGUAAAACCAGUCUAUUAAUGCCAAAUAAGUCAGUCCACCCUCAAAGCACUAGUUUACUAUGGAUUGUUUCAUUUUGCAGUGUACGCUACUAUCUAUAUGCAUUAUUAUUUAGCUGCCAUUUCGCUGCUAUUAUAAACUUUUUUAUAAAAAAUUACACGUCAAAUAGCCCAACAAUGAGGGAAAAAGUAUUCAGCUCGAGGAUAAAUGUAGUCAUUAUUUAUUGUUGAACUCAGCAGGUUUUGUCUGGCUAAUAGCAUACACAAAUGAGCUGCAAUCAAAGUCAAUUAGAUGAAAUCCAACUUGGGAGGCUCCUCUGGUCUUCAAAAUUCUUCCUGAGAUGUUGUGCAUUAUACUGUAUGUCCAUUGCGCUGCACAUAAUUGAAACUUAGUCUUGAAUGAUGCAUGUAUCACAAUUCCAGUGGGUCAGAAGUUUACAUACAGUAAGUUGACUGUGCCUUUAAACAGCUUGGAAAAUUCCAGAAAAUUAUGUCAUGGCUUUAGAAGCUUCUG
Molecule: long non-coding RNA, 2783 nt
Organism: Oncorhynchus gorbuscha (pink salmon)
Lineage: Eukaryota; Metazoa; Chordata; Actinopteri; Salmoniformes; Salmonidae
Exons: 4
Source: RefSeq, a predicted model, not a curated record